GACGUAGGGCGCGAGCGUUGUCCGGAUUUAUUGGGCGUAAAGAGCUCGUAGGCGGCUUGUUGCGUCGACUGUGAAAACCCGCGGCUUAACUGCGGGCUUGCAGUUGAUACGGGCAGGCUAGAGUUCGGUAGGGGAGACUGGAAUUCCUGGUGUAGCGGUGAAAUGCGCAGAUAUCAGGAGGAACACCGGUGGCGAAGGCGGGUCUCUGGGCCGAUACUGACGCUGAGGAGCGAAAGCGUGGGGAGCGAUCCGG
Molecule: ribosomal RNA, 253 nt
Filed under: uncultured bacterium
Lineage: Bacteria
Description: partial 16S ribosomal RNA
Rfam family: Bacterial small subunit ribosomal RNA
Source: RNAcentral